UACGGAGGGUGCAAGCAUUGAUCGGAAUUACUGGGCGUAAAGGGUGCGUAGGCGGCUUGAAAAGUCAGAUGUGAAAUUCCGCGGCUCAACUGCGGAGCGGCAUUUGAAACUUUCUAGCUGGAGCGUAGUUAGGGAAAACGGAAUUCCACGUGUAGCGGUGAAAUGCGUAGAUAUGUGGAAGAACACCGGUGGUGAAGACGGUUUUCUGGGCUAUUGCUGACGCUGAGGCACGAAAGCUAGGGGAGCAAACAGG
This 253-nucleotide ribosomal RNA is filed under the name uncultured bacterium. RNAcentral's name for it is "partial 16S ribosomal RNA". It matches the Rfam family "Bacterial small subunit ribosomal RNA", at positions 524 to 776 of the family's 1533-position model. The record is from RNAcentral.